Molecule: RNA transcript, 1327 nt
Organism: Dioscorea cayenensis subsp. rotundata (Guinea yam)
Lineage: Eukaryota; Viridiplantae; Streptophyta; Magnoliopsida; Dioscoreales; Dioscoreaceae
Gene name: serine--tRNA ligase-like
Exons: 5
Source: RefSeq, a predicted model, not a curated record
ACAAAGAAGUCCGCGGACUCAUUUGUGCAUUUUCCUCAAUGACCACGACCGCAGGGAUGCUGGAUCUCAAUAUCUUCAGCGCUGAGAAAGGCUUCGAUUCGAGAUCAUCAGUGCCGUCGUUUCGCCAGUGUCAAGGUCAUCGACGAGAUCAUCAGCCUUGACAAAGAAUGGUGGCAACAUCAAUUCGAGUUGGAGAUUCUCAGAAAAGACUUCAAUCGAAUCAACAAGGAGGUUGCAAGUCUCAAAACUGAGGAGAAGGAGGAUGCGACGGAGAUGAUAAACAGCACUAAUGGGAACAAGAAAUUGACCACAGAGAUGGAGAUUGAGGUUCAAUAGGCAAAGGCUGCGCUUGAUUCUAAGCUCGAGACAAUUGGCAAUCUUGUGAAUGACUCUGUUCUUGUUAGCAAUGAUGAGGCUCGCCUAUGAGCAAACAUCUUGCUUUUCGCUCUUUUAAUAUUUAUUGUGUUCUGUGGACACUAAUUUGACUAUGUUUUUCGGGCAAACAAUGAAAUAGUUCGAGUAUGGGGUGAUAGGCGUAUGGAAGACAAGUUGAAGGAUCAUGUUGAUCUUGUCAAGCUUCUUGACAUUGCUGAUCUUGAGAAAGAUGCUAAGGAAAGCCUCCUGCUAUUUGCUACAAAGGCGCCUGUUGCAGCUUGAGGUUUCCAAAUUCAGUGCAACAAGUGGGCUGUCAUAGUUCGCCUGCUUCUUGGGGAAAUUCCGGAGAGGACUGUCUUCAUGCAGAAAGGGAGGAAGUUGAAGAAGAGGACCAUGGAGGCUCUAGAAGUGGUUUCAUUUUUUAAAUUUUAUCACAACCAAAUGAUUACAACAAAAAUCAGGUACGUGUGUUGUUUUGAUUUUGUUCACUUGGAUAAAUAAAAGGUGCAUUAAUAAUGGUGUUGGUUUAACAUUUCCUAUUUUAAAAUUUUUUAGAAAAUUAGCUAGAAUCGCUAGCUUUGGGUUUAAUGGUGGUAUUGUGUUCUUUCGUUUGAUUUUUUUUUUUUUUUAAAUGUUUGGUGUAUUGGUAGUCAGAGUUUAGAUCAAAGUGUUUUAAAUAAUUUAUUUGGUUAACUUUGAAUUUUUAGAACAGUGAUACUGUACAAAUUGAAAAAGAUGAACAUACACAUUAGGUAAUAGAGCUGGCCAUGUUAGGGGAACCUCUUUAGCAUUAACCACUCAUUGUUACUACUCAAUGUUAUGCUUCAAUAGACUUUCUGUUACUAUCAACAGUCCAUACCACAUAAAAGUUUAGUACAUAUCGGAAGUCCUUUCUAAUGAUUAUUUAAUGGGGCGUUUGGUUGGAUGUAAUUGAAAAUGCAGUGGAUUUGUA